AGUUCUUGUAAUUGGGCCUUUGACUUUGAUGAUCUGAUUAUCUUUUUCUAUUUGUGUUGGAAUGAACACUUACCAUGGAUGUUUGUUGGACAUAUUGUGAAGCUUCAGGUUUUAUUACUUUUCUACUCACUAUUUUUCUUAUUUGCUCGAUUUGGAAUGUCUACAGUUUCUCUUAUUGGCUGGAUAGUUGGAAGGUAUUUCAUUGUAUGUAUCUAAGCAAGAGUGAUGCGUCUAGGUCCUCCAUCAUCUACCGUUAUUGAUUAUAGUUUUCUUGAAUUCAUUGGCCUUACAGGAAAGCUAAGCAAUGAAGUGUGGUGUAGGAUGUAAAAAUGGUGGGUCGAAAUUCUGUGGUGAAGCUAAAUGUUUCUUUCACCAGGACAUUGUUGUGUUCAACUGAUUUAAUUUUUAACUGGCUCAACUUGUCGGUUUGAUUAUAAUCUUGUUUGUAACUUGUUGGUUUGAUUAUAAUCUUGGUUGUAUUUUGAUAAUGUAUGUUUCUAAGAGGCAUUGUGGGAUGAGAAUGAGACAAGUACAGUUGAACUUUACUCUUUGAUUUGAUGGUUUGCUUCUUGGUUUGAAAAGUUCUACUAUUUAAUUUUGAUGACUUCUCUGCAUAAUUCUAUAAUAUAGGUCUUUUGUUCUAUAUAGGUCUUUUGUUCUUUUAAUAAUUUUCCAAAACCUUUCGAUUCAUUAUUCUUGAUCCCGAACAUAUGGGUUGAGUUGUGAACUUCUUUGGACUUUUUGCAUGUAACUCUUACGCUGAAAUUAGUAUAAGAAUGAUCCUGAAAUUGAAAUUGUUUAAAUGCUUCACUUUUGUUUCAACAAUCUCCAUAUGUGUUUCUCGUUCCUUGAGUUUUGAAAUUUGCAUUUAUUUGUUUGCAACACAUUGAGUCUUUAUCUGAGGUUUCUCUUUCAGUUGAUUAACUCAACCAGUGAUGGAAUAUAGUGGGACGACUAACAUGUCUAUUCAAGCAGUUAUAGAUUUUUUUUCUUUUUUUUCCUUUAUUGUUUAUUGAGUUGAGUGUUUUCAAAAUAUUUCUGUAGCCACUUGGGAUUGAAAGUCCAACGUUAUGCCUGACAUUGGAUAAUUGGACUUCUUUUAUUAGUUUUCCAAACCGUUCAUUUUUUUCAUAUUUGUUCUAUUUGGACAGGAAUUGUAGGUGAGAAAGAUAAUGGAGUUUUGGAGGUGAAUUUGUUUAAUAUUUGUUCUAUUUGGACAGGAAUUGUAUGUGAAAAAGAUAAUGAAGUUUUGGAGGUGAAUUUGUUAAUUCCAGUGAAAACGACGAAGAACUCUUGAUAAAGUAAUUUUCUUUGUUAUUAUAUUUCUCUACCCAAUCCAGGUGUUGCAUUAAUCCCUUUGCAGCAUACAGAACUGUAACCGAUCUUAAGUUUGUAUGCAACGAUGUUUUUGGAAAUUUUGUGUCACAAACUUAUUAUUAGGAGACUACGACUUCCUUGGUUUUAUCUGAUCAUUCUGGACUUGCUAUCUUCUUCUGUGGGUUUUGGUUAGGUUUCAAUUUUCAGUAAUGUCUGGUAUGUUGACAGUAUUGGAUUUCCUUGUUUGCAUUUCAAAAACUGAACCAAUCUCAAGGCAUUACGCUUCUAUAGUUGGAGUAGUAUGAGACAACUUUGUUUCUCUGAAAUUUAGAGAGUCUCUUUAAUAUUGCAUGGUAAUUUUUUUAUACGAUGUACAAGUAUAUCCAGUUUUAUUUGGAUAUUUUUUAGCAACAAUGCUUUUGGAAUAGGAUUUGUUUGAGCGCUACCAUGAGAAAGUUCAAUUUGAAACGACAACCACUCAUAAUAGCCUAAUUUCUUCUAUAUGAGGUUUCCCCUUUUAUUUAACUUCUAAGGAAUUGAUUACCAACAUUAGGAUUGAAUUGUGAUUUGUUUUUCUACAGUGGUUUAUGAUUGUAUUCAAACAAUGUUUGGAUCUCAUCGAACCUUUAAUGAGUUGAUUUCUGAGUUUAAGAAUUCGUCUAAUAUUUUCUAAAAUUCCUCCCAUGGAACAAGUGUUUUAAGUUUUCUUGAAUUUUUUCUAUUUACCGGUAAGACAAGCAAUGGAUGUGUGAGGACAUGUAGAAACAUGCGGAUCAAUUAAAGCCUUAGUUUGUGUUAAUUCGUGACUAGCUAUUUGAAUGCAGUUUUUUAUGUGGUGACAAAGAUCUAUCAAAAUAAAAAAAUUGGUUUAGGAUUUCCUCUCUAUUUGAUAUUUUCAGAUUUGAUCACCAAAUAUAAGGAUUUUCCGUUACCAUUUGUUUUUCUGCAGUGAUGUUUGCAUUAUGUUUCAUGCUACGUCUAAUGGAUCAUGUUGUCUGGAAGGUUUUAUGGCUCUUGGUAACAGGCUUUACAAGUGCUUCAGAGGAUCAGUAGUUUCAGAGCUGAUACCUAUUAUCAUAAUUGUGUCUCGCAGUGUGAAUUGUUCAAGUUUAUUUAUUUGCAAAAGGGAUCAGUUCUCCAAUAAUUUUUGCAGAAGAUUGGAUGGCUAACAUUAUUGUUCGUUCAUUUGAUCCAGUAAGAGCUCAUUCUAGAAAUGUGGACUUCUCUUUAAAAGCCUUUAGUAUGUUUACUAUCUUCAAAAGAUAUUUUUUCUGGAUCUAUUGUUUUGACAGAGCAGGUCUUCGAGGAAGUCACGGGUCUCUUAGAUUUGGAAUUGUUCAAGUACCAUCAACAUGAUUUCAUGAUCUCUUAUGAUUUCCCCUGAAUUUUUGGUUGUUGUUUUGACAGGGUAGGGUUUGGGUAGAGUUUGGGUUUUUGGAUUAGGAAUUGUCCAACUACCAACAAUGUGUAAACCCUAAACCCUAAACCCUAAAUAUAUAUAUAUAUAUAUAUUUUUGCUAGUUUUAUUUUUCAUUGAAUUACUUAAUUGCUUUAUUAAUAUGAUCAUUUGAUUAUAAAAUUAUUCUUGGUAGUUAUAUAAUUAUUCAUGGUUGUUUUAUUACCUUUAAUAGUUAUUGUUGUUGGAAAAGUAAUCUAGAAGUCCUUUGUUGGCUAAUGAUUCUCUAACAUUUUUUUUUUAAAUUUCAUAGUAGUUGUAUUUUGCUUUGACAAUUUAGUUUAGUUUUUUUAUUGAUUCCUGCAUCGACAAAUGAAUUUUGAACUUGUUCUUGCAUAAUUUAUCAUGGGAUAAAAUGAAUUGGUGGUGUAGGUUUGGAAAACAGUGGAUCUGGACCCUGUGGAACUUUGGUUUUAUUCUGUGUUUAUUAUUUUCUUUGAUGCUAUUAUGCACGGAUAAACUUGUGGACUGGGAAUGCUUACCUCUUUAUGACAGGCAUUGUAAACGUCUGUGUCAGCCAUUUAAUUUUCUCUUUCUAGUUCACACUCAGACAUUUCUUUCAGCAACUGAGUCAUUUAAUCGCAAAGAGAGUUUUGUUUCCUUUCAUGUUCUUUGUUGUCAAUACAACCUUUGUUUCUUUCUUAUCAGCUAUAGUAUUUAAUUCAAUGCGAUCUCAGGAUGUGUUACUUGGAAGUGAUGUGGUUAUUCAUUCGAGGAUUGAUGUGUUAUUUGGAAGUGAGGUGAGGCUAUCUGAAUACCGGAAGGAGAUCCAUUCUCUUUGAUGACAGAUGCCUACUUGAGUUUGGAUGUAGUUAUUUAUUUGAUGACAGAGAUCUAUCAUAUGUAACUUUCUGUUAGUUCCUUUUCAACAGGGGAUUCUGGUUGAGGAUUAAAAAACAUAAAUUUGAAUAUUGUUUUUGUCUAAUUAUUGAAAUAUGACAAAUCUAGCGGUUUGAUAUGUGAAUAUGUUGAUUCUUUUUCAGCAAAUCAUAGGUUAGUAACAAUAAAAUGCUCAGGGAAGAUGUCUCCCCUCUAUUUGAAACUUUGUGGAUUGAGCGUAUUUUUCCAGACUGAUAUGUGAGGUAGGAUGUGGAAACACUUACCAGGACAUUUGUGAAGCUUUAGGUUUUGUUACCCUUACCAUUCUUGUGUCUUUAUUUGUGACUGACUAAACUUCUUGUUUGGAUUCUAAGUUUUGGUUGGAUUCAUUGCUAACCUUGUAGUUUGACUGGCAGUCUGGCAAUUCUUGUGGGUUUAGAGGUCGUGUAAUUUGGGGAGGACUUGUCUGGCAGAAUUUUUAACUACUUAUAUGAAGUACUGAAUUAAUAGUGAAAAAAAGAUAAAAAAAAUAUAUCAUGGCUAUUAAAAGUUUAUGUUUCUUGUCCUGUUCAGCCAUGACACUUGUGUGAACACUUGCUUCUUUCUCUAUUGCCCCAUAUGCAUUUUUUUCACAAUUUUUACUCUUUUUUAAGUUAUCCAUUUCUAAGUAAUUUAGGCUUCUCGUAGCUUUUACCAGUCCUGGAUUCAUAGUGAAAUUUGAACCUUUUACAUGGUGCAAUUGAAAUUAAGGAGUGAAUUAUUGAUCUUUAGUUUUACAGUACUGAAUUAAUUUUGGAUUUGCUUUGGUGUAGCAAAUUUGAAAGGUCAUUUUCUUAGUUAUUACUUCAUUUACUAAAUAAUCAAGAGCAUUGGACAAUUUGAUUUUGUAGUGUUUUGUUUGCUGCAUUGACAAAUGAAUCUUGCAUUGUAUUGUUUUUAAUAGUUCUGGAUUACAUUCUGAAUAUGACAUAUGAUGAUCUCUUCUAUCUUCCAAUAUGAGAAUGAUCUGCAACAUUAGAGUUGUAUUUAGUUCUAUCUCCAAAGGGAGAAUGAGAAAUUGAGAGCUCUAUUUAGUUUUAUCUCCAAUUAUCUCUAAUAUGAGAAUGAGAAACAACAGUAGUUGGAAUGUUUUCUGGCAAUCUUCCUGUGCUAUGAUUCAGUUCUCUCUCCAUAUAUGAGAAUAAGAAAAUGAGAAAGAGAAACAAGAUUAUUUGGAAUGUUUUUUGUCGUAAUCUUCUUGCACUAUGAUUCGGUUCUCUCCCAAUAUGCGAAUGAGAAACAACAAUAUUUGGAAAGUUGUCAUAAUCUUCUUGCGUUAUAUGAUUCGGUUCUGUCCCCAAUAUGCGAAUGAGAAGAUGAGAAACAACAGUAUAUGAGAGCUCCAUUUAGUUCUAUCUCCAAAUGAGAAACAACAGUACAUGAGAGUUCUAUUUAGUUUUAUCUCUAAUAUGAUAAAGAAGCGAAACAAAAGUAUUUGGAUUGUUCUCUUUGUAAUCUUCGUGUGCUAUGAGCAACGCCUCCCCUCGAGGCUAUGGUAACGGGUGAUGCCUCUCUAUUCCAACAUGAGAUCUCUAUAUAUUAUGUGGAAGCAGACACCAUCUUUUUGUCGUCUAUAUUUCUCAGCUCUUGCUGAUUUUGCCGUGCUGUUUUCUUGAUUUACCAUGCUUUUUUUUAUCAGCAAAGAAUGAAAUUAAAUUAAGAGGGAUACAAAAGGGGUAUCUCAACUCUUUUACAUAAACCAAACCACAUUAAGAAUCUCCAAGAAUAAAGAGAUGAAUAAACACCACAGAAGCAAUAGAUAGAUAAUGUUUGUUGCAUAAGUUAAACAUCCUAUUUCAGCUAGCACCGUGCUUGUAUUGGAAUGCUAUAAGCACUGCAAACUGCAGCUACAAAACCAUCAAAAUACACCAAAAUUGGUUGUCUCCACCACCUCAUUGACAUUCCUUCUACCCAACUUGCAGUGGCACGAUUGUAGCACUUGUCACAGAAUUAAUCACUUCAAUGCAGCAUCUUCCAUUCACUCCUUUUUGGACUUUGGCUUCUCCUUGUUUGCUCCUUUCAAGCUCACUUUUAACAGAAACCAAGUUCCUACUUGCCAAGGUCUAUCUCGCACUUAGAUUGGUUGGAGUUUACAACUUCGAGUUACAUCCCCCAACAUGUCUGAAUCCCCACCACAACCUCUACUGCUACCAUCUACAUGUGAGACCACUAGUUGAUCAGCAAACACACUUAGGGAUUUCCACAACAACCAAAACACCACAUAAAAAAACACAGUUUUUGUUUCCUGCAUAAAGAACCCUGAACCAGCAUACACCUUGCCUCUAUUGGUCUGUUAUAAGACACAUCAAAACAGAAUCUUUCAUCAUGUCCUUAACAUUCCUUUUGACUCCCUUGCAUACAAGCACAUAUGUCCUUUCCAUCUUGCACUAGCUGCAGGCCGUGACAAACCCACCAACACCUCCAACCAACUAUAAAUCCAGUAUAGGUCGUAGUCUUAAAACUCUUGGCACCUGGGAGUACUAAUUAUAACUUCUAAUGCAAAGCAUUGGAUUAAGAAUCCAGUCUACGAAAGAAUAAGUAAAGAAAUGCACCUUGUGUUUCAUCCAAAGCCAGGAUUUGAGUUGAGCCUUCUGAAACACCUCCUCCGCAUCUACUAGCCCUUUUUUGAAUACAAUCAGGUUCCUUUGGUCCCAGAUACACCUAAUAACAGAUGCCCAAACACCUUUCCAUACCAGGUUUUGCUUCUUACUAGCAUUGCUCAGAUAAAAACUCAUAAAGUGCAUAAUUAAAUCAUUUUGUUGAACAGAAGAGAUACCUAUCCAUUUGAAGCACAAGGACCAUACCCAUUGUGCGUAUUUACACUCCAAGAAGAUAUGUUGACAAGACUCCUCCUUAAGCUGACACAUUGCACAUAACGUAGAUUCCAUCAUUACCCCUCUCCUACUCAAACUCACCCUUGUUGGGAUUCUAUCCAACAACACUCUCCAAGCUGUCACGAUCACAUUUGGGAAUGCCUUAGUCUUCCAAAGGAGAUUAAACACAUCGGAUUGGGUUCCACGAGACUGCUUGGCAAGGCACUCAUAAGCAGAAUUCACAGAAAAAAAAGGGCUGGUUCUUCCUUCCCCCACACCUGCACAUCCACGUCAUUCCUUCUCAUUAGUGCCCCUGAUAACAGUGUAAAGAGGUCUGCUUCCAGUGAUGAUUCCCACUCAAAUCUGGCACGCCUCCAUGUCAGCCUCCAUCUCCAAUCCGAAUUAAUCCACACGCCAACUUCACCCACCGUUUGCCCCUGUUUUAAGGAUAGGGAGAACAGUCUUGGAAACAAGGAUUUGAGAUCAGAGCUCCCAACCCACACCUCCUCCCAUAACUUUACUUUGUCUCCACACCCUAGUUUUCAGCUUAGUUCUUCUUGAAACCAUCAUUUUCCUCCUCCCUCCUUGCACACUUUAAAGAGAUCUUUCCACCACCAAGAUUUUCAGCUUAGUUCUUCUUGAAACCAUCAUUAGUCCAAUUUUAAUACAUGAUAUGACAAAUGGAUUGAAUUAUGAUAUUGUCUCCUUGAAGCUUGAAUUUAUGAUCGUGUCUCUGUGCGCUGUGAUCUUAGUCACAUUGGUGGUAUAGACAAAUUGAAAAGAAGGAUCUUGGAGUCAUUCCUUUCAUUUUAGUAGUGGUAAUUACCAAGAGCUCAAGACUAUUUGACUUCAAUUUUUUCAUUACAAAACUUUAUUUUGUCUUUAUUAGUUUCUUUCAUUGAGAAAUGAAUUUUGAACUUGGGUUCUUGCAAAGCAUCAAUGUUCUUGCCUAAUUUGUGUUGCAAGAUUAUUGAUCUUUUGUAUUGGAGUUCCAAAAAUUAUAGUCUACUCAAGACUAAUUUCAUGAGUCUUGACUUUGCUAUUCUUAUUCGGAAGGUUUGUACUAUGUAUGUUUUGUCUUUUCUGAUUUAAAGUGUUUUUCCUUGUUUUUAUUUGUGUGGUUCAGACUGAAUAAAUGAGAUACCGAUUUUCUUGUUCUCCUCAUGUUACAUCAACCAUUUUAUUGCUACUUUUAUUCAUUUGCAAAGGCUCAGGAUAAUAUUAUUUCUUCAGAUUUCUAUGUACUUGAUAGUAAAUUUUUAGGUGUUGCAUAGCGCCUGGUAUGACUUUCUCUAUUGGUUUUUCAUUCUUGAAUUUAUGAAUUCAUCUUGUCUAGAUUCUAUACUUCUAUUAAGAGGACCUGGUAUGACUUUCUCUAUUCCUAACAAAAAAAACUUUUGUCCUCAAAAUUACCUAAAAAAAUAAUUAGGAUAUGAUUCACUUGUCUUCUUUUUCAUCUCCCGCAUAUAAGAUCUCACAACACUUUGACCUUUCACAACACUUUGGCCUUGUUUACACUUUCAUUUCAAAAGAUGGAUUUUCUCUUACAUGAAUUAAAUCAAAUUUUGUGUGACUAACUUUCCUUUUGUUGUAUACCAAGUUAACCAUCCAAUCUAUUUUUCCUCAAUCUUAAACACACAAUUUAGGUUAGUCUUAUGUUUUUCAAGCUUCUAGAAUAAUAUUUUUGCAUAAAGGUUAUUGUCAAAAAUGUCUAAGACGAUGUUGAUGUAAUCAAACUUCACGAUCCAUGACUUGACUUGUUAUAAGAACUAUAUAAACAUAUGCAUGAUAUAAAUCAAUAUCAAUAUAGAAAUCUUUCCAUGUUUAUUGGAAAGAUUACCUUUAAUUUUUAAUGGACAUGAUAUGAUACUAACCUUUCUAACUCAUUUUGUUUUUUUUUAACAAUAUUCUUAAAUUCAAAAAAAUGUGUAAUUAUAUUACUCACCUAACUCUAACUCAUUUUGUUUUUUUCUUAACAAUAUUCUCAAAUUAAAAAAGUGUGCAAUUAUAUUACUCACCUAACUGUUGCGUCUCAAAAAAUGUAUUGUAUGUUUCAACACUAGAAUAUUAAUUGUAAAAUUGACUUGCAAUGCGACCAAGUUUGGUAAAAUAAAAGUUAUUUUUUUCAUUGAAAUGCAUCAUUUUUUUCCAACACUAGUCUUUUUAGGACUAAAAGUAGGAUUUGCCAUUGCUUCAUUUCUCCAAAGGAUUCAUCCUCAUCUUUAUAAAAAGAUAAAUAUACUCCAAUCAAGCGUAAACUUCUUUAACAUUAGUUACAUACCUCUUUCACCACUUUUAUCAAACUAAUGUCUUCUUUUUGGUCAAUUAUCCACAUAACAUCAAGCAUACCAUUCAUUUUCAUAUAAAAAUAUUUAGUUUUAUUUGUUUUUAAUAGGUUUAAAUAUUUUUAAAAUUUGAAUCAACCAAUUGCUUCUCUUUCACUUCUUUUAGAAACUUGUUAAGCAUAUGACAAAUAAUAUGAGUUGAAGAUAUAGGAAUUUCUAAAUCCUACAUUCUAAAUUCUAAAUCUUUAAUCAUAGGUGUUGACACUUGUGUCUUCUCAUGAAUUGAAGCAUAUGUAGCAACAUUUCCUAUCUUAGGAUGGUACCUCAACAAAAAAUUGUAAUCUUUCAAAAACUCCAUCAAUUUUCUAUUAUCUACUUUCGUUAUUUGUAGGAUAGGAAACUAAUUGUAUAAUAACACUAUUUCAUUUCGACUUAGCCACGUUCAACUAUUGUAAUUUUCUCCUAAGUCUUUGAAGUUUCACUUCAUGAUAGUAAAAAAUAUAUUUAACCACGUCUCUUUUUAUGUUCAACUAUUAAAAAACUUGUGUAGUACUGAUAUAUAUUAGUUGUGUCUAAUGCAAAUAUAUUUAUUUUAUAAUUUUUAUACUAUAUCAUUUUCUCCAACUUAUUAUUUGUCGAUACACAAACUUUAUCUUGAACCUCAGAAUUUCAUUUACUUUCAUUACGAGAUCCUUAGCUGUUUUUGUACUUAACACUUAAUUAACUUAAGUUUUCGACCAUCACAAUCAACCAAGAUUAUCGAACUUGAUAGUUUAGUAAACUUGUGAAAGGCUUGUAAACUCAACUUGUAGACUCGUAAGAGUCUUGUUCAUAUAAAAUAUUGACAAAAAAAUAUUUAUGAUACCAAUUUCACAUUAUUAAAAUAAAAAAAUUCAUACAACAACAAAUUUAUUAAGACUUUGACUUCUUUUGUUACUGAAACACAAGGUUCAAAAUCAUAUAUCUUCAAAAUCAUAUAUCUUCCCAACAAAAUGAUGUUUGAAUGUGAAAAAUGUCUCCAUUAAAUAAUAAUUAUAUUUCACUUUUUUAUUGUUAUCUAAAACAUAUCUUCGGUGUUUCCAUCCAAUUUACGCAACAUUUUUAUUUCUAGAUGGAAGUGAUAAAGAUGUACCGACACACACUACCAAUUGCAACCAUUUCCCAACAUAAUAAUUAUUUUAACUUUAUUUUUUAACCACACUAAAAAAGACAAAAUCUUGAUAAAAAAUUAAACUAAUUUUUAGAAUUAAGAUAAAAAAUUAUCUUGAUUUAAUCAUGAAUGUGCAUCACUUUUUUUAGAUUUUUUCUUUUUCAAUAAUUUUAUCUUCAUUCAUUAUAAUAUAAACACAAUCUCAAAAUUUUUUUUUGAACUUUCAACUAAAAAACUUUAGUUAUCUUUAAAGUAGACAUAAACAAAUAUAUGCACAUGCAAAAAUAACCCACUACUAUGGAUGACAAAGUCAGGCAGGUCAACUCAUUAAGAAAGAACGCAGCGGAUGUCCUAUUUCAACUUGGGCUGAUUCUCCCUACACCCAAUCAAAUUGGACCUGUACCCAAUUGCAUUUGUGAAAGUACCGAAAUACCCUUAAUGAAAAUGAAAUUAGGGUUUAGUGAUUUCUGCACCCAAUCACACACCCAAGUUCGUUUAUGCCAUCCUCAUACUCAACAUCAUCUCUCGCACGAGCGUCCGCAUCCUCGCACCUUGGUUGGCAUUUCUCUGGCAGUGUAGUGUUGAGUGGAAGGACCCCUUGAACAAAGACGAAGCUAGGAGCGCGAAGGUCGUCCAUUGUUGCGCGAAGGUUUUAGGGCAUCAUAUGCAUCAGCGCACCCUACAAGCUUUUUCAAAAUAAACAUGACAAUGGUACAAUUGGAUUUUAGAAUGUUUUUCGGGUGCCAAUCACAAUUGAUUGGGUGCAGGAAGAAAUUGCUUUCAACUUGUUGACUUGCUUAGGCUCACCUCGCAUAAUCCGCAGUCCGCACGGGCCAAGUACAAGACGGGACAGGCUAACUCACAACCAACAUAUUUUAAAAAAUUAGACAUUUUUUUGCACCCCAUAAUUUUUUUUUUUAGCCUCAUAAUCUCAAAAAAUUUAAACUAUUCAUUCUAAAUUUUAUAAUCAGUAAUACAAAUUUGUAUUAUAAAGUGUACAAUCUAGAAUGUUGUACAAUCUUAAACCAAAUUUUAACUCUUAGAUUCUAUAACCCUAGAAGUCUCUAAAUUUCACAUUCCGAAAUUAAAGAUAAAACAUUCAACAAAAAAUGUCAAAGGAUAAUUAUAAUAUUUUUUGAAGUAUGGGGUGUAGUAAGUAGGGGUGGCAAUGCGGGCUGGCUCGCCCCGCAUUUGAUUCCCAAUGAGUGCGAUUUCAUUUCAAUGACCACCCCGCAUAAGAGGUAACCGACGGGCCUGAGGGCCAAUCCGCAUAAGAAAAAUAUUUAUUUUCAAAAAUUAAAAUUUCAUCAAAUAUAAAAAAAUUUAUUCUUACUAUGGAAAAAUUACAAUUUUAUACAUGUUUCAAUUCGUUCAAUUAAGAUAAAGUUAUAAAUUCAAGUGUGAGGAUUGUUAGAAGGUUUGAUUAAAAUUAACUAAAGUUUUAUUUUUUGCAUAUAUUUUUCCUAUAUAUGUAUGUGAAUGUAUAAGAAUACCUUAUCAAAGUUUUGUUAUAAAAUAUUUUAAUGAAGAUGACUAAUUUUUUUAACUAUCCUAUUUAAAUCUCUUUUUUUAUAUUUUUUUUAUUAACAAAUUUAAAAUAUAAGAUUUACUUAAAAUCAAAUCCAAUGUCACUCUUCAUACUAACUCCAUGGCUCAACUAAAGACCUGGUCCUGGGUAACCUAUAAAAUUCAUUUUGCUUAUUUUUCCUUUUGUGACUGGUGUUUGGAUCCCUGUUUAAUUAAACAUAAGUGUUUUAUUUAGGUUGGUUAGACUCUAUUUGUUCUAGUAGGAAGUUAGUGAUAAACUUCCCAAAUGAGGGUUGUUAGUUUUUGUGUGAUUUUGUACAUGAGUUUGGAUCACUCAUAAAGUGGUUCUUAUUUAUUUAUUUUUAUUGUUGAUAAAAAAAAACUAACUCCUUUAAAUGAUUAAAAUAAAAUAUUUUUUUUAGUAGAUUAAAUUCAAUUUUUUAAAAUAAAAUAAAUAAAUGUUGCACUACAAGGGUGAAUGAGGUAUGAUUUUUUUUUACAAAAAAUAAAAUAAUAUUUUUUCAUUUAUACGGGUCAACCUGCCCCGCUCCGUUAUUGGUCCGCUCUGGGAGUUAUGCGGGGCAGGUCUAAGCAGGUCAGCAGGGUAGAUUAGUGAGCUCGCCCUGCGCCUUUUAGUAGCGGGUUGCGGGCUGACCCGCCCUACAUUGUCAUCCCUGGCAAUAAGAAAGACAUGGAGGUGCAGGAAGAAACUAUCCUCAAUCCCUAGUUCAUAACACCUUCAUGAAAUUUGAUAAUAGUCUUUUUUUCCUUUUUAAAAUGCAUAAAUUUUAUAGGUUUCAAUAUUCAUCAAAUGUUAAAUGCAUUAGUCAGAUUUUGGCCUUUUUAUAAUAAAAUUUAAAUAUAUAAUAAUAUUAUUAUAUAUAUAUAUAUAUAUUAUUUUUUAAAUUAAAAUAAUAAUCAUGUAUCUACAUGUAUUGUCUUUAAAAAUAUAUAUAUUUAAAGAAAUAUUUAUUAGUCAAUUUAUUAUAAUUUUUUUAUCCAUAUUUUAUUACAUAUGUCGUGAGAAUAAUAUUAUGAAACUAUUUACCUAAAUCAUCUAAAUAAGAAAAAAAUUAUUUUAAUAAACAAAACAAAAUUUUAUUCAAAAUUUAUAUUUAAUUUUUUUCAUUAAUUAAAAAAAAUCUUAUGUGGAUCGGCUUGUGGGUUAGCUAGCAUGCGAGGCGGGCCAAUAAAAGCAACCCGUAUAUUUUACGCGGUACGAACCAACGUAGCCUGCAUUUUGUGGGCCAAAUGCGAGGCAAACGGACCUGCAUUGCCAUCCAUACGCACUACCCUCAUGUUAUCCUAAGGUCGAACAACUCUGAUACCAUAAAUGUAACACCCCCAAUAUUUACUAUACACUUAUUACAAAGUUUAUUGUAAUAUAAUUUUAUUACAAUAAACGUAUUCAAGAACUACAUAAACCAUACAUGGAUUUAUAUAUCAAGGAUAUUUAAUCCAUUUCUGCUCAGGCUAAAAUAUUCCCGCUCAAGUUGACAAAAACUUCUUUCUUUUAUUUUAUUUUUCUUCUUGUCUCAUCAAUGAAUUGGAUUCUUUAGCAAAAAACUUUGCUUGAACAAAAAUAGUGCUAAAAACAAGUUUGAGUGCUUGGUUAUUUUCGCUUGAGCAAAAAUUGGCUUGCUUGAGAAAAAUAUCAAAAAAAUCAACUAUUACAAUAAUACAUAGUCAUUUUUAAAGUUGUACCUUAAAAGCAAUUCAAACUCAAACAUUAAAAAUAUGUUCAACAACACACAACAUCAAAUAGAACAUCAAGUGAUCACAUCACUCUUUAAUUUAGGUUAUUCUGCUAAGGCUCUACCAAAAAUAUAAUUAUUUUUUCUUAUGUGAAAUUCCUUAUUUCAAGAAAAAAAAUCUACCUCAAACAAAAGAACCACUCAAAAUUUAAAGCUCUAAAGCAAAAUAUCCAAACUUAAUUAAAUUUUAAUAUAAGGUUAAUCAAGUUGAUGAUCGCUUUUGACAACUAAUUUUACCAAGAUGGAUGACAAAAUUAGAAGAAAAUAAAAAAAAUAGAGAAUAUUUAGGAUAAAUAAGAACUUAUCCUGUUUUGAAAAUCUAAUUGGAUAAAAAUGAUUUCUAACUCUUUAGCUAUUGUAGGGUGUGAUGAAAAUUUGAAAUAAAUGAAGUGUAAAAAAAGAAAAGUAUAAAGAAAAGGAAAGAAGAAAGAAAAGAAAAAAAAAGAAUAUUAGGAUAUAAUUUCUUAUCUUCUCUUCCAUAUUUGAAGUGGAAUUAUCGUAUAUGAAAUGUUAAAAAAAUGACUACAUUUAUAUUUCUAUUAUGAAAUUGUUUUAUUUGAAAAUAUAUUUUCUUUUACUUACACUGAAUUAUAUUCUAAAUUAUAAUUGAAUUGUGUAUAUAUUUGUUAGUUGCAAUAAAUAAAAAAUAUUAUAAUAAAAGAGAUCAAACAUCUUAUUAAUUUUUAUGUAAUAGAAACUAUUCUCUUUGAAAAUAUGGAAAUAAGAAAGAAAGUGGAGGCAUGAAAGGGAUUUACUUACAAUUAUUCUCAACAACAAAAUAUUUUAUCAUUCAAAAAUUACAUUAUUUAGAAAAAAGAUUAGGAUAUAAUUUUUUUUAUAUUCUCUUUCAUUUAUGAGAUGAAGUGGAAUUAUCGUAUAUAAAAUCUUAAAAAGCUGACUAUAUUUAUAUUUUUAUCAAAUAAGAAUUAAAAAACAGACUUUCCUUAAAAAAUAUAUUUUUCUUUUACUGAAUUAUAUUCUAAAUUAUAAUUAAAUUGUGUAUAUAUUUUUGUAGUUGCAAUAAAUAAAAAAUAUUAUGAGUGUUGACUAAUAGAGAGAUAAAACAAAUUCUUAUUAAUUUUUAUAUUAAAUUGUCUUUUCUACACUCUAAGAAAAACAUACUUACUAAAGUAUGAAGUUAAAGUUGUUCUUAUUUCAUCUGUAUAAAUUUUUUGCCGACUAAAACUGUUUUGAACUUUCACUACAAUUUUGAAAUUUGGAUUUACAAUUAAUAAUAACAGAUGAAAAUUUAUUAAAAGAUCACCAUUAUUUAAAAAUAAAAAUUAUUUGUUUUAAAAUAUAAAAAAAUCGAUUGAACUUAUAAUAUAUAACUAUUUAUAUUAAAAGUUUUUUUUUUCUGUAAAUUAUUUUUAGAAAUUAUGCUAUUAAUUAUUGGUGAGAUCAUAGACUUUUUCCCUUAAAAAAAUCAAAAUAAAACAUUAAGUGUGGAUGACAAUAACUUUUGUACAGCUACAUUAUAUAAUAUUAAUAGCUUUCCUUGACAAUUUGAUUAUUACCCAUCGCAUAUAACUUUAGUUUUAUUAAUCAAACUAUUUAUUUAUGACUUAAUUUAAAUAAACAUUCUCAUGAAAAAAAAUUAAUAUUAAAGUUAUAGUAUCUAAAAUAAUGUUUAGAGAAUCACGGUCUAAAGAAAACUAUAUUUUCAAUUUUCUUUUACCAUGUCAAUCGAAUAAAUUAAUUAAUUAAGUCUUCUAUUAAACUAAUAAAAUUCUAUAUAGAAAAAUUAUAAAUUAUUUAUUUAAAAUUUACAUAUCUUCUCACAUUAAAAUAUGUGAACAAUUUAUUUUAUUAUAAUUGAUUCACAUAAGCUAAAUAAUAAUAAUAAAAGUUAAGAAAAAAUGUAACUAUAUUUAAAUUUCCAUACAUAAUAUACUAAUAAACUAUUUAUUAUAUUAUAUAUUUUCCCGUUAAGUGAGUUGGCGCCCAAAAUCCUCUCUCAAUAUAAAGACAGUAACAGUGAACUAAAGAAACACAACAGAACUAAAUUUCUAAUUUUCUCUCCCUUCGAUUACGAGUUCAAGCGACUCGAGAACAUUCGCCGCAACGUUGAGGUGAUGGCAGCGCUCAAACUCCAUUCUAAAGCCACCCACAACUCUCCAAAGGUACUCUUCUCUCUUCUGUAACUUACCAUUUUUUUGGAAAUCUCCAGAGUUUCUCCAGAGGUGAAACUGAAACCCCGAUUGAAAUAUUAUGUUUUGGUCAAUAUCCAAGAUCAGUUUUGUUGGUAUUGCUUUGGUGAUUUUGUUUUGUUGGUGUUGCUUUGGUUAUUGUCGUGAUUCUCUAUAAGGAUUUGUGGAAUUACAUGAUGUUUUCGUCAUGGGAUAGAAGAGUUAUUAAGAAUUAUUAGCAAGUGAUCAAUGUGCUUUUAUCGGAUUGUGAUUCAUUUACGCCGAAUGUGAUUCUUUGUGAUGAUGGCGAGUUUUAAAUCUUUUGAUCAAAUCUUUUUUGUCUAUGGAUGAAAUGAAAAACAUAAUAGUUCAGAAAGGCCAAUUGAUCCAAGUCUUCUUUUAAUCUCCUUUCUAUUAUUUAAUUUAUAUGGUAUUGAUCACCGAAAAUAAGGAUUGGAUUAUGAUUUGUUUAUUAGUGUUUAUCUGCAUCUGCAUCUUUAUCAUUUUUCUACACUUCUUUUUAGUAAGAGCUUAUUUCGUUUUCUUGAAUUUUUGGCUGUACAGCUAAUUCGUUUCUUGAAUUUUUGGGCUGUAUAGGGAAGGCACGCAAUGGAUGUGUGGUGUAGUGUAAGACAUGAUGUGAAGUAUUAUGUUUUGUUACCCUAAUUUCAGUCUGCUUGAUCUCCAAGGAUUGAAUGGUGUUCCAUGUUGAAUUUUUUCUACUUGAUUUCCAAGGAUUGAAUUGUGUUUGAUGUUUGAAUUAUUUUCACUUAAUGUCCUGCAGUAUCUCAUGGAGUAUGUUAUAUAAGGCCUAAGGGUUGAAUCAUCUUUUAAUUUCUUCUAUGUGUUGAACUGGAGUUGAUCACCGAACAUUAAGAUUUUAAUUGUGAUUUGUUUCUCUGCAGCAGGGUUUUGUUUAGUUUUGUGUGAUGACCUGUAUCUCAUCGUGCCUGUUAUGAGCAACUAAGGCUCCACCGGUUUUGAAUUCAUUAAUUUAUCUUAUCCUUUCUUAAAUUCUUCCCAUGAUGUGUCGAGCCUAUAAGUGGCUCCCUUGGUUUUGAAUUUGUGGCCUCCCUUGGUUUUGAAAUUUUGAAUUUACCUUAACCUUUCUAUACUAUGUCAUGUCAUCUCUUUAAAAGAGAAUAGUUUUCUCGAAUCUCCAUGAUUCUUGUUCAGCUUUUAUUGGAAGGCAAUAUAUAUGUGGGCAGGUUUCAGAAACAGUAAAUGGAGGUCGUGUGAAACUUUAGGUUUUUAUUAUCUUUGCGGUUAUUCUUUUGGCUAAACUUGUGGAGUGGGGUUCUUGUAGACAGGCACUAUAUGACUAUGAGAGGCUUUGACAUUUGUGUUUGUGUCUUCGACUUUGAUUAUCUUCUUCUACGUGUUGCAGUGUCUUUCUACAUGUUGCACUGACUUGCUAUGGAUGUCUGUUGGAUUGUGGAGACAAUUGCGGUAGAUUAUUGGACUUACUGUGAAGCUUUAGGUUUUAUUAUGUUUUCAUUCACUAUCUUAUGUGCUUGAUUUGAAAUGGCUGUAUUCUCUCUUAUUGGUUGAAUAGUAGGAAGCUACACGUGUCAGUCACUGUGUGUCUAAGCUAGGGCGAUUCUUAAUUAUGCUUAUCCUUUAUCUCAUGAUCCCAACUAUCUUCCAAAAUGAGAAUGUUCUCCAUAAUGACAGUAAUAUUUAGUUAUAUUUCCAAUAUGAGAAUGAAAAACUAUCUCUCAAAGCUAUGAGAGACCAAUUCCAAAAGGAAAGCUCCAACAUGAGAGCUCUAUUUACUUCUUUCGGGUUGGGGUCUCAGUAUUUGUGAUAGGAUAUGGAAGCAGACUGUAUCUUAUUUCUAACUAUAUUUCUCAAUCUUAGUCCCUUGCUGAUUUUGGUCUUUAUUAUUUAAUGUUUUUGGACUUGAUCACUUAACAUAUGGGCUGAAUUGUUGUUUAUCUACAAUAGUAUUUCAAAGUAUUUUUGUAAUCUUCUUCGUGCUCUUGGUUUUGAAUGGUGGCUUCCCUUGAUAUUUUAGAUUAGUGAAUUUAUCUUAUUGUUUCUUUACUUUGUCAUGUCAUCUUUUUAAGAAGAUUAGUUUUCUCAAAUCGCCAUGAGUCUUACUUGAGCUUUGUCACGAGUCUUAUUGAACUUUGCCACGAGAAUUCUUGAGCUUUGCAACGAGUAUUCUUGACCUUUUACAUGAAGGAUGCAACGGUCAGGUUUUGGAAAUAGUGGAUGGAGAUACAUUUAAACUUAGGUUUUAUUAUCUUUGCAUUUAUUAUGCUGAUAAAAAAACAUCUUUGCAUUCAUUAUUUUCUUUGUUGUUAUUCUUUUUGCUACUCUUGUGGAGUCGGAGUUCUUGUAAUUGGCCAUUUUACUUGUGUUGUAGUGAACUUUGAGCUUCGCCAUGAGUCUUCUUGACCUUUGCCAUGAGUCUUAUUGAGCUUUGCCACGUGUUUUCUUGAGCUUUGCCAUAAGACUUCUUGAGCUUUGCCAUGAGUCUUAUUGAGCUUUGCCACGUGUUUUCUUGUGCUUUGCCAUAAGACUUCUUGAGCUUUUCCAUGAGUCUUCUUGAGCUUUGCCAUGAGACUUCUUCAGCUUUGCCAUCAGUCUUCUUGUGCUUUGCCACGAGUUGUUCUUGUGCUUUGCCAUCAGGAGUCUUCUUGAGCUUUGCCAUGAGACUUAUUGAGCUUUGCCAUGAGUCUUCGUGAGCUGCCAUGAGUCUUCUUGAGCUUUGCCACGAGUCUUGUUGUGCUUUGCCAUGAGACUUCUUGAGCUUUGCCAUGAGUCUUGUUGUGCUUUGCCAUGAGACUUCUUGAUCUUUGCCAUGAGUCUUGUUCAGCUUUGCCACGAGUCUUCGUGAGCUUUGCCAUGAGUCUUCUUGAGCUUUGCCAUGAGUCUUCUUGUGCUUUGCCAUAAGUCUUCUUGAGCUUUGCCACGAAUCUUCUUGAGCUUUGAGCUUUGCCACGAAUCUUCUUGAGCUUUUACAUGAAGGAUGUAGGGUUCAGGUUUUGGAAACAGCGGAUGGAGUUACAGUUAAAGUUUAGGUUUUAUUAUCUUUGCAUUCAUUAUGCUGAUAAAAAAAAUCUUUGCAUUCAUUAUUUUCUUUGUUGUUAUUCUUUUUGCUACUCUUGUGGAGUGGGAGUUCUUGUAAUUGGGCCUUUGACUUUGAUGAUUUGAUUAUCUUCUAGUUGUGUUGUAGUGAACUUUGAGCUUUGCCAUGAGUCUUCUUGAGCUUUGCCAUGAGUCUUCUUGAGCUUUUCCAUGAGACUUGUUGAGCUUUGCCUUGAGACUUGAUGAGCUUUGCCAUGAGUCUUCUUGAGCUUUUACAUGAAGGAUGUAGGGGUCAGGUUUUGGAAACAGCGGAUGGAGAUACAGUUAAAGUUUAGGUUUUAUUAUAUCUGCAUUUAUUAUGCUGAUAAAAAAAUUCUUUGCAUUCAUUAUUUUCUUUGCUGUUAUUCUUUUUCUACUCUUGUGGAGUGGGAGUUCUUGUAAUUGUGCCUUUGACUUUGAUGAUCUGAUUAUCUUUUUCUACUUGUGUUGCAAUGAACACUUACCAUGGAUGUUUGUUGGACAUAUUGUGAAGCUUCGGGUUUUAUUACUUUUCUACUCACUAUUUUUCUUAUGUGCUCGAUAUGGAAUGUCUAAAGUUUUUCUUAUUGGCUGGAUAGUUGGAAGGUAUUGUAUGUAUCAAAGCAAGAGCGAUACGUCUAGGUCCUCCAUCAUGUACCCUUAUUGAUUAUAGUUUUCUUGAAUUCAUUGGCCUUACACGAAAGCUAAGCAAUGAAGUGUGGUGUAGGAUGUAAAAAUGGUGGGUGGAAAUUCUUUGAUCGGUGAAGCUAAAUCUUUUUUUCACCAGGACAUUGUUGUGUUCAUCUGAAUUAAUUUUUAACUGGCUCAACUUGUGGGUUUGAUUAUAAUCUUGGUUGUAACUUGUUGGUUUGAUUAUAAUCUUGGUUGUAUUUUGAUAAUGUAUGGUUCUAAGAGGAAUUGUGGGAUGAGCAUGAAACAAGUGCGGUUGGGCUUUACUCUUUGAUUUGAUGGUUUGCUUCUUGGUUUGAGAAGUUCUUUCUACUAUUUAAUUUUGAUGACUUCUCUGCAUAAUUCUAUAAUAUAGGUCUUUUGUUCUAUAUAGGUCUUUUGUUCUUUUAAUAGUUUUCCAAAACCUUUCGAUUCAUUAUUCUUGAUCCCAAACUUAUGGGUUGAGUGAACUUCUUUGGAAUUUUUGCACGCUGAAAUUUUUGAAAUUAGUAUAAGAAUGAUCCUGAAAUUGAAAUUAUUUAAAUGCUUCAGUUUUGUUUCAGCAAUCUUCAUAUGUGUUUCUCGUUCCUCGAUUUUUGAAAUUUGCAUUUAUUUGUUUGCAACACAUUGAGUCUUUAUCUGAGGUUUUUCUUUCAGUUUAUUAACUCAACCAGUGAUGGAAUAUAGUGGGACGACUAACAUGUCUAAUCAACCAGUUAUAGAUUUUUUUUCUUUUUUUUCUUUAUUGUUUAUUGAGUUCAGUGUUUUCAAAAUAUUUCUGUAAGCACUUGGGAUUGAAAGUCCAACGUUAUGCCUGACAUUAGAUAAUUGGACUUCUUUUAUUAGUUAUCCAAAUGAAUUUGUUUCAUAUUUGUUCUAUUUGGACAGGAAUUGUAUGAAGAAAGAUAAUGGAGUUUUGGAGGUAAAUUUGUUUCAUAUUUGUUCUAUUUGGACAGGAAUUGUAUGCGAGAAAGAUUAUGAAGUUUUGGAGGUGAAUUUGUUAAUUCCAGUCAAAACGACGAAGAAAUCUUGAUAAAGUAGUUGUCCUUGUUAUUCUAUUUCUCUACCCAAUCCAGGUGUUGCAUUAAUCCCUUUUCAGCAUACAGAACUGUGAUCGAUCUUAAGUUUGUAUGCAACGACGUUUUUGAAAAUUUUGUGUCACAGACUUAUUAUUAGGACUUAUUACCUUGAUUUUAUCUGAUCAUUUUGGACUUGGUAUCCUCUUUUGUGGGUUUUGGUUUGGUUUCAAUUUUCAGUAAUGUCUGAUAAGUUGGCAGUAUUGGAUUUCCUUGUUUGCAUAUCAGAAACUGAACCAAUCUCAAGGCAUUAAGUUUUUAUAGUUGGAGUAGUAUGAGACAACUUUGUUUCUCUGAAAUUUAGAUAGUCUGUUUAAUAUUGCAUGGUAGGUUUUUUAUACUAUGUACAAGUAUAUCCAGUUUUAUUUGGAUAUUUUUUAGGAACAAUGCUUUUGGAAUAGGAUUGUUUGAGUGCUACCAUGGGAAAGUUCAACUUGAAACGACAACAACUCAUAAUAGCCUAAUUUCUUCUCUAUGAGGUUUCACCAUUUAUUUUACUUCUAAGGACUUGAGCACCAACAUUAGGAUUGAAUUGUGAUUUGUUUUUCUACAGUGGUUUAUGAUUGGAUUCAAUCAAUGUCUGGAUCUCAUCGAGCCUUUAAUGAGAUUGUUUCUGAGUUUAAGAAAACGUCUAAUAUUUUCUAAAAUUCCUCCCUUGGAACAAGUGUUUUUAGUUUUCUUGAAUUUUUGCUCUUUAUAGGUAAGACAAGCAAAGGAUGUGAGGACAUGUAGAAACAUGGGGAUCAAUUGAAGCCUUAGUUUGUGUUAAUUCGUGACUAGUUAUUUGAGUGCAGUUUUUUUAUUUGGUGACAAAGAUCUAUCAAAAUAAAAAAAUUAGUUUAAGAUUUCCUCUCUAUUUGAUAUUUUCAGAUUUGAUCACCAAAUGUAAGGAUUUUCUGUCGUCAUUUGUUUUUCUACAGUGAUGUUUGCAUUAUGUUUCAUGCUACGUCUAAUGGAUCAUGUUAUCUGGAAGUUUUUAUGGCUCUUGGUAACAGGCUUUACAAGGGUUUUCAGAGGAUCAGUAAUUUUAGAGGUGAUACCUAUUAUCAUAAUUGUGUGUUGCAGUGUGAAUUGUUCAAGUUUAUUCAUCUGCAAAAGGAAUCAGUUCUUCAUUCAUCUUUGCAGAAGAUUAGAUGGCUUGUUCAAGUUUAUUCAUUUGCAAAAGGGAUCAGUUCUUCAUUCAUCUUUGAAGAAGAUUAGAUGGCUAACUUUAUUGUCCGUUCAUUUGAUCCAGUAAGAGCCCAUUCUAGAAAUGUGGACUUCUCUUUUUUGUUCAUUUUUAGAUUUGGAAUUGUUUAAGUACCAACAACAUGAUUUCAUGGUCUCUUAUGAUUUCUCCUGAAUUCUUAGUUGUUGUCCUACUACCAACCAUGUGUGUAAAAGUUUGAAAUAUACGUUGUGGAUAUUUUCUAGGGAUAUAUAUAUAUAUAUAUAUAUAUAUAUAUAUAUAUUUAGUUGCUAGUUUUAUUUUUGAUUGAAUUACAUAAAUGAUUUAUUAAUAUGAUUAUUUGAUUAUAUCAGAGUUGUAGUGCUUUUUAUAAAAUUGUUCUUGGUAGUUAUGUAAUUGUUCAUGGUUGUUUUAUUACCUUUAAUAGUUAUUGUUUUUGGAAAAAUAAUCUAGAAGUCCUUUGUUGGCUUUUGAUUCUCUAACAUUUUUUUUUUAAUUUUAUAGUAGUUGUAUAUUGCUUUGACAAUUUAGUUUAGUUUUUUUAAUUGACUCUGAUUGUUAAUUAAAUAUUUAUUUACAUUAGAAUGUUGAUGAUGUAAAUGAUUUCUUUUAAUGUUGAUUAUGAUUCUAUUUUAUAAAAUAUUGUGUUAUGGUAAUCAUUAAUUAAUUGCUUUGUAUGCACUCAUUUAUCAUAUUGUUGUAUGACAAAUCUUAAAGCUCCCUAAGAGAAAGGUUCAUGGGUUGCUGUGUGGAAAGUUCUAAAACACGCUCAAUAUAGUAAAUUAUGGAUCAUGUGCUUUUACGGAAGAAUUAUUAAUAAAUUGAAGUACAUGAAUUCUUAGUAUAAUUCUCUAGUUGAUGAUGACGAGUUUUUAACCUUUCGCUUAAAUUUCUUUGCACCUUUUAAGCUUAUGGCUGGUUCACUGAUAUUUCUUUUGCCUUUGGAUGAUAUGAAAACCCCAACAGCCAAGGGCUAAGCAUAACGGAAGUCUUUUGAGUUUCCCUUUUAUUAUUUUUUUUUCUGGUAUUGAUGACCGAACAUAAGGAUUGAACUAUGAUGUGUUUAUCUGCAGUGGUGUUCGGAUUAGUUGGGUAUAUUCGCAUUAUCAAGUUUCUAUACUUCCUCUUAGCAAGAGCGGUUAUUGUUUCCUUCAAUUUUUUGACUGUAAAGGGUUUAUCGUUUCCUUCAAUAAAAUUUGAUAUUCGUGUUCAUUCCUUUUCAGCAAGUCAAGAGUCUCUGAGAUUUCUUUUGGCGGUUGAGGAACAAGAUGGUUUUACAGGAUAUUCUAAUUUCUCUAUACUUGAUCACCAACAUUGAAUAGUGAUUUGUUCUUAUGCAGUAAACAUAAAGAUUUAUUUUUGAUUUGUUUCUCUACAGCAAUGUUUUGAUUUUUUCGUAUCUAAUAGUUCUUUAUUACUAGUUAUAGUUCUGUUAAUUUCUCUAGCAAGAGCUCAGGACUAUUUGGAUUCAAUUUUUUUAUAACAAAACUUUAUUUUGUCUUUAAUAGUUUCCUUCAUUGACAAAUAAAUUUUGAACUCGGUUCUAGCAAAGCAUCAAUGUCUUUGCCUAAUUUGUGUUUCAAGAUUAUUGAUCUUUCGUAUUGAAGUUCUGAAAAUUAUAUUUUUUUCUUAGGUGGAGAAGUAUUGAAAAGAUGGAUCUUGAAGUUAUUCCUUUCAUUUUAGUAGUGUAACUAGCAAGAGCUCAAGAUUAUUUGCCGCCAUUCUUUGAUUACAGAAGUUUUUAUUUUGUUUGUUUCUUGCAUUGACAAAUGAAUUUUGAACUUGUUCUUGGAUAAUUUAUCUUUGGGAGAAAAUGAAUUGGUGGUGUAGGUUUGGGAAACAGUGGAUCAGGACACCCUGUGGAAAUUUAGGUUUUAUUAUGUGUUUAUUAUUUUCUUUGCUGCUAUUAUUCAUGGAUAAACUUGUGGAUUGGGAAUGCUUACCUCUUUAUGACAGGCACCGUAAAUGUCUGUGUCAGCCAUUUAAUUUUCUCUUUCUAGUCCACAGACAUUUCUUUCAGCAACUGAGUCAUUUAAUCGCAAAGAGAGUUUUGUUGCCUUUCAUGUUCUUUGUUGUCAAAACAACCUUGUUUCUUUUUUAUCAGCUAUAGUAUUUAGUUUCACUGCGAUCUCGGGAUGUGUUAUUUGGAAGUGAUGUGGUUACUCAUUUAAGGAUUGACGUGUUAUUUGGAAGUGAGGUGGUUAUUCAUUCGAGGAUUGAAUUCCAUUCCCUUUGACUUGCAUUGUUUGUGUUCAUUGCUAUCAAACAACUUUCUUCAUUUUAAAUGUAUGGAGUCUAUUUUUUUAAGAUGAAAUCCCCACUAAAUGUUUAUGUUUUAUUUUUUCUUUCUUUUUCAUCAUCUCCUAGUUAUUUGUGUUUCUCAUAGGCUUGGUCUCAUCCCUUCGACUUGCAUAUGUUUGUGUUCAUUGCUAUUGAACAACUUUCUUUUUUGCCAUUAGUCUUCUGGAGCUUUGCCAUGAGACUUCUUGAGUUUUGCCGUGAGACUUCUUGAGUUUUGCCGUGAGACUUCUUGAGCUUUGUCACAAGUCUUCUUGAGCUUUGCCACGAGUCUUCUUGAGCUCUGCCAUGAGUCUUCUUGAGCUCGGCAAUGAGUUUUCUUGAGCUUUGUCGUGAAGAAUGUAGGGGUCAGGUUUUGGAAACCGUGGAUGGAGAUGCAGUUAAAGUUUCGGUUUUAUUAUCUUUGCAUUUAUUAUGCUGAUAAAAAAAAUCUUUGCAUUCAUUAUUUUCUUUUUUGAUAUUCUUUUUGCUACUCUGGUGGAGUGGGAGUUCUUGUAAUUGGACCUUUGACUUUGAUGAUUUGAUUAUCUUCUACUUGUGUUGUAGAGAAUUUUGAGCUUUGCCAUUAGUCUUCUUGAGCUUUGCCAUGAGUCUUCUUGAUCUCUGCCUUGAGCCUUCUUGAACUCUGCCAUGAGUCUUCUUGAGCUUUGCCAUGAAUCUUCUUGAGCUUUGUCAUGAAUCUUCUUGAGCUUUUACAUGAAGGAUGUAGGGGUCAGGUUUUGGAAAUAGUGGAUGGAGAUACAGUUAAAGUUUAGGUUUUAUUAUCUUUGCAUUUAUUAUGCUGAUAAAAAAAAUCUUUGCAUUCAUUAUUUUCUUUGCUCCUAUUCUUUUUGCUACUCUUGUGGAGUGGGAGUUUUUGUAAUUGGGCCUUUGACUUUGAUGAUCUGAUUAUCUUCUUCUACUUGUGUUGCAAUGAACACUUACCAUGGAUGUUUGUUGGACAUAUUGUGAAGCUUCAGGUUUUAUUACUUUUCCACUCACUAUUUUUCUUAUGUGCUCGAUUUGGAAUGUGUACAGUUUCUCUUAUUUGUUGGAUAGUUGGAAGGUAUUUCAUUGUAUUGUAUGUAUCUAAGCAAGAGCAAUACUUCUAGGUCCUCCAUCAUCUAACCAUAUUGAUUAUAGUUUUCUUGAAUUCAUUGGCCUAAAAGGAAAGCUAAGCAAUGAAGUUUGGUGUAGGAUGUAAAAAUGGUUGGUGGAAAUUCUGUGAUCAGUGAAGCUAAAUGUUUCUCUCAUUAGGACAUUGUUGUGUUUAACUGAAUUAAUUUUUAACUGGCUAAACUUGUUGGUUUGAUUAUAAUCUUGGUUGUAUUUUGAUGGUGUAUGGUUCUAAGAGGCAUUGUGGGAUUAGCAUGAGACAAGUGUGGUUGGGCUUUACUCUUUUAUUUGAUGGUUUGCUUCUUGGUUUGGAAAGUUCUACUAUUUAAUUUUGAUGACUUCUCUGCAUAAUUCUAUAAUAUAGGUCUGUUGUUCUUUUAAUAGUUUUCCAAAACCUUUUGAUUCAUUAUUCUUGAUCCCAAACAUAGAAUUUUUGCAUGUAAUCUCGUGUGAUCCUAGACAACAAUGUCUCUUACUAUGAUGACGGACAUCAAUGUCUCUUACGCUGAAAUUUUUGAAAUUAGUAUAAGAAUGAUCCUGAAAUUGAAAUUGUUUAAAUGCUUCACUUUUGUUUCAACAAUCUCAUGUGUUUCUCGUUCCUUGAGUUUUGAAAUUUGCAUUUAUUUGUUUGCAACACAUUGAGUCUUUAUUUGAGGUUUCUCUUUCAGUUCAUUAACUCAGCAAGUGAUGGAAUAUAGUGGGACGACUAACAUGUUUAAUCAACCAGUUAUAGAUUUUUUUCUUUUUUUCCUUUAUUGUUUAUUGAGUUGAGUGCUUUGAAAAUAUUUCUGUAACCAAUUGGGAUUGAAAGUCCAGCGUUAUGCCUGGCAUUAGAUAAUUGGACUUCUUUUAUUAGUUAUCCAAACCGUUCAUUUUUUUCAUAUUUGUUCUAUUUGGACAGGAAUUGUAUGCGAGAGAGAUAAUGAAGUUUUGGAGGUGAAUUUGUUAAUUUCAGUUACGACUAUGGAGGAAUUGUAUUUUGGAGGUGAAUUUGUGAAUUUGUAUGAGACAACUUUGUUUCUCUGAAAUUUAGAGAGCCUCUUUAAUAUUGCAUGGUAGUUUUUUUAUACGAUAUACAAGUAUAUCCAGUUUUAUUUGGAUAUUUUUUAGCAACAAUGCUUUUGGAAUAGGAUUUGUUUGAGCGCUACCAUGAGAAAGUUCAACUUGAAACGACAACAACUCAUAAUAGCCUAAUUCCUUCUAUAUGAGGUUUCACCUUUUAUUUAACUUCUAAGGACUUGAUUACCAACAUUAGGAUUGAAUUGUGAUUUGUUUUUCUACAGUGGUUUAUGAUUGUCUUCAAACAAUGUUUGGAUCUCAUCGAGCCAGUUGGUUUCUGAGUUAAGAAUUUUUCUAAUAUUUUCUAAAAUUCCUCCCCUGAAACAAGUGUUUUUAGUUUUCUUGAAUUUUUGCUCUUUACAGAUAAGACAAGCAAUGGAUGUGUGACGACAUGUAGAAACAUGGGGAUCAAUUAAAGCCUUAGUUUGUCUUAAUUGGUGACUAGUUAUUUGAAUGCAGUUUUAUAUGUGGUGACAAUGAUCUAUCAAAAUAAAAAAAUUGGUUUAGGAUUUCCUCUCUAUUUGAUAUUUUCAGAUUUGAUCACCAAAUAUAAGGAUUUUCUGUUGCCAUUUGUUUCUCUGCAGUGAUGUUUGCAUUAUGGCUUUACAAGUCUUUCAGAGGAUCAGUAGUUUCAGAGGUGAAUUGUGUGUUGCAGUGUAAAUUGUUCAAGUUUAUUUAUUUGCAAAAGGGAUCAAUUCUCCAUUCAUUUUUGCAGAAGAUUAGAUGGCUAACAUUAUUGUUCGUUCAUUUGAUCCAGUAAGAGCUCAUUCUAGAAAUGUGGACUUCUCUUUAAAAGCCUUUGGUAUUUUAACUAUCUUCAAAAGAUAUUUUUUCUGGAUCUAUUGUUUUGACAGAGCAGGUCUUCGAGGAAGACACGAGUGUUGUUGAUUUUUAGAUUUGGAAUUGUUCAAGUACCAACAACAUGAUUUCAUGAUCUCUUAUGAUUUCCCCUGAAUUCUUGGUUGUUGUUUUGCCAGGGUAGGGUCUGGGUAGAUUUGGGUUUUUGGAUUCGGAAUUGUCCAACUACCAACAAUGUGUGUACAGGUUUGAAAUAGAUGAUGUGUUUGUCAGAUAUUUUCUAGGGAUAUAUAUAUAUAUAUAUAUAUAUAUAUAUAUAUAUUUAGUUGCUAGUUUUAUUUUUCAUUCAAUUACUUAAUUGCUUUAUUACUAUGAUCAUUUGAUUAUAAAAUUAUUCUUGGUAGUUAUAUAAUUAUUCAUGGUUGUUAGAUUACCUUUAAUAGUUACUGUUGUUGGAAAUAUAAUCUAGAAGUCCUUUGUUGGCUAAUGAUUCUCUAACAUUUUUUUUAAUUUUAUGGUAGUUGUAUUUUGCUUUGACAAUUUAGUUUAGUUUUUUUUAUUAACUCUGAUUGUUUCCAGCAUCGACACAUGAAUUUUGAACUUGUUCUUGCAUAAUUUAUCAUGGGAGAAAAUGAAUUGGUGGUGUAGGUUUGGGAAACAGUGGAUCAAGACCCUAUGGAAAUUUGGGUUUUAUUCUGUGUUUAUUAUUUUCUUUGCUGCUAUUAUUCACGGAUAAACUUGUGGACUGGGAAUGCUUACCUCUUUAUGACAGGCACUGUAAAUGUCUGUGUCAGCCAUUUAAUUUUCUCUUUCUAGUCCGCACUCAGACAUUUCUUUCAGCAACCAGUCAUUUAAUCGGAAAGAGAGUUUUGUUUCCUUUCAUGUUCUUUGUUGUCAAAACAACCUUUGUUUCUUUCUUAUCAGCUAUAGUAUUUAAUUCACUGCGAUCUCAGGAUGUGUUAUUUGGAAGUGAUGUGGUUAUUCAUUCGAGGAUUGAUGUGUUAUUUGGAAGUGAGGUGGUUAUUCAUUCGAGGAUUGAGUUUCAUUCCCUUUGACUUGCAUUUUUUUGUGUUCAUAGCUAUCAAACAACUUUCUUCCUUUGAAAUGUAUGGAGUCUAUUUUUUUAAGAUGAAAUCCCCUCUAAAUGUUAAUGUUUUAUUUUUUUUCUUUCUUUUUCAUCAUUUCCUAGUUAUUUGUGUUUCUCAUAGGCUUGGUCUCAUCCCUUCGACUUGCAUUUGUUUGUGUUCAUUGCUAUUAAACAACAUUUUUUUUAAAUGUAUGGAGUCUUUUUUGUUACGUCUAGAGAUGUUGAUUUGCUUGUUUUCAUUCCGUUUUAGGUGUUGAUUUGUUUGCGUUCAUUCCUUUUUAGGUGUUGAUUUGUUUGUGUUCAUUCCUUUUUAGCAUUUGGAGGCCUCAAGAAUGGUUGAGGAUUAAAAUCUGGAAGUGUUUAGAACGACCAAUAAUUCAGGAUAACCUAAUUUCAUUAGUUUCCUUUCCAUUUGAUUUCUUGAGAUUUGAUCACGAAGAAUAAGGAUUGAAUUGUCAUUUGUUUUUAUGAUGUCUUUCUUUGUUUUGAAUGUCUUAUUGUCUCUAUACUUCAACUCUAUGAGCCGUUGUAGCCUUCCUGAAUUCUUGGGGUGUACAGUACAGGACAAACAUGCAACAGAUGUUACGUAGGACAGAUGUGAGUAUCCUUAAAGCUCUAGGUUUUGGUAUCCACACAUAUUUUUGUCUUUAAUUGGGACUGGCUAUUUGAAUUUCUCUGGUUUUUGAAUUCCUUCAAUUCAUCUUAUGCUUUCUUAACUUCUUGGUCUUUAUUACCAAUAUCUAUUUUUAUUUAAAUAUAGUUCUUAAAUUUUUUAUGUCUAGGUGUUGAUUCGUUUGUGUUCAUUUCUUUUUAGCAUGUAAGACUGGUUAAGGAUUAAAAUCUGCUAGUGUACACGAAAAACAAGCCACGGAUGUGAGGUAGGAUAUCUAAAUACUGGAAGGAGAUGCUUGAUUCUGUAGGUUAUCCAUAAUCUUUGAUGACAGAUGCUUACUUGAGUUUGGAUGUAGUUAUUUAUUUGAUGAAAGAGAUCUAUCAUAUGUAACUUUGUGUUAGUUCCUUUUCAGCAGGGGAUUCUGGUUGAGGAUUAAAAAACAUAAAUUUGAAUAUUGAUUUUGUUUGAUUAUUGAAAUAUGACAAAUCUAGCUGUUUGAUCUUUGAAUAUGUUGAUUCUUUUUAGCAAAUCAUAGGUUAGUAAUAAUAAAAUGCUCAGGGAAGAUGUCUCCCCUUUACUUGAAACAUUGUAGAUAGAGCAUAUUUUUCCAGACUGAUAUGCGAGGUAGGGUGUGGAAACACUUCCCAGGGGAUUUGUGAAGCUUUAGGUUGUUACCUGUUAGAUAUUAUUAGAUAUUAUUAGAUAUUAUUAGAUAUUAUUAGAUAUAAUUAGAUAUUAUUUGAUAUUAUGAGAUAUUAUAGAUAUUGUUAGAUAUCUCAUAUUUAUGUAAUGGGCUUAGCCCAUAUGUUUCUUUUCCUAUAUAAACAUAACCCUAUGUGUUCAAUAUACACAAGGGAUUUACCCUAUUCUUUCUUUUCCUUUAAUAUUACCCUUACCAUUCUUGUGUCUUUAUUUGUGACUGACUAAACUUCUUGUUUGGAUUCUAAGUUUUGGUUGGAUUCAUUGCUAACAUUGUAGUUUGACUGGCAGUCUGGCAGUUCUUGUGGGUUUAGAGGUCGUGUAAUACUCUCUUUUUUAAGUUGUCCAUUUCUAAGUAAUUUAGGCUUCUCUUAGCUUUUACCAGUCCUGGAUUCAUAGUGAAAUUUGACCCUUUUACAUGGUGCAAUUGAAAUUAAGGAGAGAAUUAUUGAUCUUUAGUUUUCUAGUACUGAAUUAAUUUUGGAUUUGUUUUGGUGUAGCAAAUCUGAAAGGUCAUUUUCUUAGUUAUUACUUCAUUUACUAAAUAAUCAAGAGCAUUGGACAAUUUGAUUUUGUAGUGUUUUGUUUGCUGCAUUGACAAAUGAAUCUUGCAUUCUAUUGUUUUUAGGAGUUUUAGAUUACAUCCUGAAUAUGACAUGAUGAUCUCUUCUAUCUUCCAAAAUGAGAAUGAUCUGCAACAUUAGAGUUGUAUUUAGUUCUAUGUCCAAUGUGAGAAUGAGAAAAUUAAGAGCUCUAUUUAGUUUUAUCUCCAAUUAUCUCUAAUAUGAGAAUGAGAAACAACAGUAGUUGGAAUGUUUUCUUGCAAUCUUCCUGUGCUAUGAUUUAGUUCUCUCUCCAUAUAUGAGAAUAAGAAAAUGAGAAAGAGAAACAAGAUUAUUUGGAAUGUUUUGUAGUAAUCUUCUUGCACUAUGAUUCGGUUCUCUCCCAAUAUGCGAAUGAGAAACAACAAUAUUUGGAAAGUUUUGUCGUAAUCUUCUUGUGCUAUGAUUCGGUUCUGUCCCCAAUAUGCGAAUGAGAAGAUGAGAAACAACAGCUUAUGAGAGCUCCAUUUGGUUCUAUCUCCAAUAUGAGAAUGAGAAACAACAGUACAUGAGAGUUCUAUUUAGUUUUAUCUCUAAUACGAUAAAGAAGAGAAACAAAAGCAUUUGGAUUGUUCUCUUUGUAAUCUUCGUGUGCUAUGAGCAACGCCUCCCCUCGAGGCUAUGGUUACGGGUGAUGCCUCUCUAUUCCAACAUGAGAGCUCUAUAUAUUUUUUUGGGGUGGGGUCUCAAUUUAUGAUACCAUGUGGAAGCAGACACCAUAUUUUUGCCGUCUAUAUUUCUCAGCUCUUGCUGAUUUUGCCAUGCUGAACUUAGUUUUCUUGAAUUGCCAUUCUUCUUAAAUUUUUACAGUAAAGCAAUAGAUAUGUGGGGGCAGGUUUUGGAAACAUUGUAUGGAGAUCUGGUGAAACUUUAGAUUUUAUUAUCUUUGCAUAUUCAUCAUUUUCUUUGAUGGCUAAACUUGUGGAUUGGGAGUUCUUGUAAACAGGCACUAUGUGAGUUUGAGAGGCUUUGGCAAUUGUGUUGUUAGGCCUUCGAUCCUGGUGAUUUGAUAAUCUGUUGCAGUGAAGACUUUAUGGAUGUCUGUUACCCAAAUUACGGUACAUUAUUGGACUUACAUUUCCAUUUCACUAUUUUUUUUAUAUCCUUGAUUUGGUUGUGGUAUCUCUUAUUGGUUGAAUAGUGGGAAGGCACAUGUGAAUCUUAUGAUGUAUUGCCUUUAAUAGUUUUUGCUGUUGGAAAAAUAAUCUAGAAGUCCUUUCUUAGCAAAUUAUUCUCAUUAUUGUAGAAAUUCUAUAACAUUUAUUCAGGUUUUACUUUCUACAAUUAGUUUAUUUUUAUCCACUCCGAUAACUAAUUAAAUAUUUACUUUCUCUAGAAAGUAGACUAUGUGAUUGAUAUAUUUUAAUGUUAUUCAUAAAUUAGUUCUUUAUAUUAAUCAUUACAAAAAUGUUUGGUAUACACUCAUAUUUAUCAUAUUGCCUUCAAGUAGAAAGGUAUUUGUAUAGGGCAAUUGCUUCCUCCCCCAAUCAAUUUUGACUAGCAUUCAAUAGAAGUUUUAAAACUUCAUUAUGCCUUUUUCACGGCUUACGAAUGCCAAUAUCCAAAAGUGACAUAUUUGCCUAUGGAUAUUGCCAUUUGGAAGUGAUAGUUUUGCCUACGGAUAUUAACAUUCGAAAGUGUCAGUUUUGCCUACGGAUAUUGACAUUUGGAAGUGUCAGUUUUGCCUACGGACAUUGGCAUCUGGAACUGGCACUCUUUGAUUGCGUUCAUUUUUAUCCGAAAGGCACUAUCAUUUUUCUUAAUAUACAUAUCAGGAAGCCAAUCAUCCUUAACUUUUUUUUUUGGCAGUGUAAUGAUUUUGUUACUUUUAAUGGAUUAAAACCACUAAACCGAACCAAUUUAAAGAAUAAAAGUAAAAUCAACAUUAAAAUUUGUUACUUGCUUUUUAUUAUAAAAUAUUUAUAUUAUCAUUUAUAUAUUUUCAAAUGCAUUAACCAUUGAUGACAUAUAGAACAUUGUUGAGAGUAGAAAAAAAGCACCCAAUAAACACAUUUUGGAUUUUCAAAAUGGGACCUGAUGAAAAAGACUUUCGUGGUGCAUAUGGAUGUUUAUAUUCAUAACUCAUAACACAAUUACGGACAAAAAUAUUCAGAACCCGUGAGAAGCGUGAAGCGACACGUCUCCUUUUCUGGUGUCUUUGCUUUCUGUCGUUGUUGAAGUGGCUCAAAAGCGUUGCUUGCGUGUGUGUAAGACUUUCGGAAGAGAAUGUCUACAAGAAACAAUGAAUGACCUUCUGCACUGUGCUUGAUUGUGGGGUGUAUGGAACCUAAUUUCACUCAUUAAGGGUGUCAUGGUAAUUUCAUAUAGAUCAUUAAGGGUGUUAUGGUAAUUUCAAACAGAAAAUUGGGUGUUAGUUAGAAUUGAUUGGGUGCAGGAGAGUCAGCUUUGUGUAGCAAUAAAAAGUCACAAAGAAAUCUAUUCAACUCUAAAAGGUUGUGAUAUUUAACACCACAAAGAGUAAAAAACAUUCACAAAUUAAUAAAAUAAUAUUUUAAUCAUAUUUAAUUUAUUUUUAUUUUUAAAUAUUAUUAUAUUAUUAUAAUGAGAUGUUAAGUAUACGUUUUUACAUGGUGUCAAAAAAUUAUUUUCCUAUUCUAAAAGAACUUAGACAAAUGUCUUAUUAUAAUAAAACUAAUAAUGUGGAAAAUAUUUUAAAAAACACUAAUAAAAGAAAUAAGUUUAUUUUUCAAAUUGAAGUCAAAUUAAGAUUAAAACAAUCUUAAAAUUUAAUUAUAUUGACUAAAAAGUUAAUAAAAACAAAACAAUAUUUACAAGAUAUUUUUAAAUAUCUUUAAAAUAAUAACUGCAAAUUUGUUUCCCCUGUUUUGUGUCAGCGGUUUGUUAUAAGAUAAGGAUGAAAAUCUUAAUUGCAUAUUUUCACCUCACCGCGUAAUAUAAGCUGUCAAUCUUGACCCUCCCUUUCUAUAUAUACCCGAAGAUCUUAUUGAGUUUAUCAUAUUGAGUUUUGUUGGUAUUGGUUCCGUGAUUGAGUUUUGUUAGUACUGAUUGGGGGUGAUUGUUGUGCUUCUUAUUAUCAAGUCUCCGUGGUUUCGUCGAAUUAUAUCAUGUUUGCUAUCAUCGAUGUGGUUUUGAUGUGGUUUUGUCGGAUUGAAGAAUGCAAGAAUCUUUUAUAGGAUUGAAGAACGCCAAUUCUGAAUAUGAUUCUUUAUGUGAUGAUGACAAGUUUUGAAUCUUUUGAUCAAAUUCCUUUAUCCCUUUUCUGCUGGUGACGGGGUCUUUGAGUAUUUUCUUCUACUUUCCUUUCUAUUAUUUGAUUUAUCUGGUAUUGAUCACGAAAAUAAGGAUUGGACUAUGAUUUGUUUAUCUGCAGUGGUGUAACACGUUUCUUAGUUAGUUUUCUUGAUUUUUGGGCUGUACAGGGAAGACACGCAAUGGAUGUGAAAUGAAGUAUUAUGUUUUCUUGACUUCUUAUGGGUUUAUUCGUGACUGAUUAUUGGAUUUCGUAGCCUAACUUGGUGUUUAUGUUCACUCCCCUUCAGCAAUUCGAGUUUCUGAGAUUUGAAACCCUAAAAAGUUUGAAACGGUUGCAGCUCAGGACAUCCCAAUUCUCUCUAUCUAUUGUUUAAUUUCUCUCUACUUUAUCUCCAAGGAUUGAAUUGUGUUCGACGUUUGAAUUAUUUUCCCUUAAUGUUAUGAGGCCCCAAGGGUUGAAUUGGUGUUUGAAUUAUUUUUUUCGCUUAAUGUCCUGCAGAGUAUGUUAUGAGACAUAAGGGCUGAAUUGUGAUUUGUUUCCUGUUUGGAUGAUUUGCAUAGCAUCUUAUAGAAUAUGAAUGGUUUGGUUUUCGCACGGUUCUCGCGAGUAUGUUAUAGCCACCAUUCUUCCUUGGUUUUUAAGUCUUCAAUUUAUCUUAUCGUUCUAUACUUCAUCCUCGAUUACCAGUUAUACUUUGUUGAAUUAUUGUUCUUUACAGGGAUGAGUGGGGAUAAGACAGGGAUGUGUGGGUAGGACGUUCCUCGUGGUUGGUUGAAAAUGGUGGAUGAGCCAUGCUCGACGGUAUGAAAAACACAACGACAAUGGGCUCGACAUAACCGAAGUCUUUUUUGAGUUUUCCUUCUAUUUUUCUUCAACAUAAGGAUAUGAUUUGUUUAUCUGCAGUGGUGUUUUGAACCUUUUGCGUAAAUUUCUUUGCUCCUUUUCAGUUGGUGGCCGAUUCUCUGGCGUUUCUUUAGCUUUUGGAUGAUUUGAAAACUAGAACGACCAAGAGCUAGGCAUAACCUAAGUCUUUGUUGAGUUUCCCUUCUUUAACUUUUUUUUCUGCUAUUGAUCACAGUACAUAAGGAUUGAACUAUGAUUUGUUUAUCUGCAGUGGUGUUUGGAUUAGUUGGGUAACGACACAUACUCAUCUUAUCAUGUUCCUAUAACUAGUAAAUUCAUUUACUGAAUUUUGAGUAUAAUUGUCUAUUUGAGUAUGACGAGUUUUAUACCUUUUGCGUAAAUUUCUUUUCAGCUGGUGGCUGGUUUUUUGGUAUUUCUUUUGCCUAUGGAUGAUAUGGAAAGCACAACGACCAAGGGCUCGACAUAACCUUAAGUCUUUUUUUAGUUUCCCUUCUAUUUUUGUUAUGGUAUUGCAUAAGGAUUGAACUAUGAUUUGUUUAUCUGCAGUGGUGUUUGGAUUAGUUGGGUAACGUCACAUAUUAAUCUUAUCAAGUUUCUAUAAUUAGUAAAUUCAUUUAUGUCUAUAUGAGAAUGACGAGUUUUGAACCUUCUGCGUAAAUUUCUUUGCACCUUUUCAGCUGGAGUUCUCUGUCAUUUCUUUCUCCUAUGGAUGAUAUGAAAAGCAGAAGGACCAAGGGGCUCGACAUAACCUAAGUCUUUUUUGACUUUUUUUUUCUAUUUUUCUUUUUCCUGGUAUUGAUGACAGUACAUAAGGAUUGAACUAUAAUUUGGUUAUCUGCAGUGGUGUUAGGAUUAGUUGGAUAACGACGCAUAUUCAUCUUACAAGUUGCUAUAACUAGUAAAUUCAUUUAUGUGAAUUUUGAGUAUAAUUCUCUAUUUGAGUUUGACAAGUUUUAAACCUUUUGCGUAAAUUUAGUUUCAGCUGGUGGCUGGUUUUUUUGCCUUUCUGUUGCCUAUGGAUGAUAUGAAAAGCACAAUGACCAACGGGCUCGUCAUAACCUAAGUCUUUUUUGAGUUUUCCUUCUUUUUUUCUUUUUCCUGGUAUUGUUCACAGUACAUAAGGAUUAAACUAUGGUUUUGUUUAUCUGCAGUGGUAUUUGGAUUAGAUGGGUAACAACGCAUAUUCAUCGUAUCAAGUUUCUAUAACUAGUAAAUUCAUUUACGUCAAUUUUGACUAUAGUUCUCUAUUUGAGUUGACACUAUAGUUCUUUAUUUGAGUAUGACGAGGAAAAUUACUUAAAUUUCUUUUCAGCUGAUCAAGGGCUCAACAUAACCUUAAAUCUUUUUUGACUUUCCCUUUUAUUAUUUUUUUUAGGUAUUACAUAAGGAUUGAACUAUGAUUUGUUUAUCUGCAGUGGUGUUAUGAUUAGUUGGGUAACUUCACAGAUUCAUCUUAUCAAGUUUCUAUAAUUCAUUUAGGUGAAUUCUGAGUAUAAUUCACUAUUUGAGGAUGAUGAGUUUUGAACAUUUUGUGUAAAUUUCUUUGCAUAUUUUCAGUUAUUGGCUGGUUCUCUGGCAUUUCUUUUGCCUAUGAAUGAUAUGAGAAGCACAACGACCAAGGGGCUCAACAUAACCUAAGUCUUUUUUGAGUUUUCCUUAUAUUUUUCUUUUUACUAGUAAUAAUAACAGUACAUAAAGAUUGAACUAUGAUUUGUUUAUCUGCAGUGGUGUUUGGACUAGUUGGGUAACGACGCAGAUUCAUUUUAUCAAGUUUCUAUAACUAGUAAAUUCAUUUACGUGAAUUUUGAGUAAAAUUCUCUAUUUGAGUAUGACGAGGUUUAAACCUUAUGCGUAAAUUUCUUUUCAGCUGGUGGCUGGUUUUUUGGCAUUUCUUUUGCCUAUGGAUGAUAUGCAAAGCACAACGACCAAGGGCUCGAUAUAACCUUAAGUCUUUUUUGAGUUUCCCUUAUAUUAUUCGUUAAUGGUUUUACAUAAGGAUUGAACUAUGAUUUGUUUAUCUGCAGUGGUGUUUUGGAUUAGUUGGGUAACGUCGCAUAUUCCUCUUAUCAAGUUUCUAUAGUUAGUAAAUUCAUUUAUGUCUAUAUGAGGAUGACAAGUUUUGAACCUUCUGCGUAAAUUUCUUUGCACCUUUUCAGCUGGCGUUCUCUAGCAUUUCUUUCUCCUAUGGAUGAUAUGAAAAGCAGAAGGACCAAGGGGCUCAACAUAACCUAAGUCUUUUUUGAGUUUUUUUUUCUAUUUUUCUUUUUCCUGGUAUUGAUGACAGAACAUAAGGAUUGAACUAUGAUUUGUUUAUCUGCAGUGGUGUUUGGAUUAGUUGGAUAACGACGCAUAUUCAUCUUACAAGUUUCUAUAACUAGUAAAUUCAUUUACGUGAAUUUUGAGUAUAAUUCUCCAUUUGAGUGUGACGAGUUUUAAACCCUUUUUGUAAAUUUACUUUCAGCUGGUGCCUGGUUUUUUGGCCUUUCUGUUGCCUAUGGAUGAUAUGAAAAGCACAACAACCAAGGGCUCGACAAAACCUUAAGUCUUUUUUGAGUUUCCUUCUAUUUUUUUAUGGUACUACAUAAGAAUUGAACUAUAAUUUGUUUAUCUGCAGUGGUGUUUGGAUUUGUAUAACGUCACAUAUUCAUCUUAUCAAGUUUCUAUAAUUAGUAAAUUCAUUUAGGUCUAUAUGAGGAUGACGAGUUUUGAACCUUUUGCGUUAAUUUCUUUGCACCUUUUCAGCUGGAGUUGAGUUGUGAACUUGUUUGGAAGUUUUGCAUGUAAUCUCCUUUGAGCCUAGACUGCAAUGUCUCUUAUGCUGAAAUCUUUGAAAUCAGAAUAAUGAACCGGAGUGACAACAAUGCUCUAACGCUGAAAUUUUUGAAAUCAGUAUAAUAAUGAUCCUGAAAUUGUUUAAAUGCUUCACUUUUGUUUCAACAAUCUCCAUUUAUGUUUCUCAUUCUUCGAGUUUUGAAAUCAGCAUUUAUUUGUUUGCAGCACAUUUUGUCUUUAUUUGAGGUUUCUCUUUCAGAUUGUUAACUCAACCAGUGAUGGAAUAUAGUGGGACGGCUAACAUGUCUUAUCAACAAGUUUGAGUGUUUAUCCAAAACCAUUCCAUUCAUUUCUUUUUCAUAUUUGUACAAUUUGGAAAAGGAUUGUAUCCGAGAAAGAUAAUGGAGUUUUGGAGGUGAAUUUGUUAAUUUUAAUCAGAUUGACGAACGUCUCUUGGACAGGAUUUCGUCUCUAUUUGAUAUUUUCAGAUUUGAUCACCAAACAUAUGGAUUUUCUGUUGUCAUUUGUUUUUGUGCAGUGAUAUUUGCAUAAUGUUUCAUGCUACGUCUAAUCAAUCAUGUUGUUUGGAAGUUUGUAUGACUCUUGAUAACAGGCUUUACAAGAGUUUGGGAGGAUUAGUAAUUUCAGAGGUGAUACCUAUUAUCAUAUUUGUGUCUUGUAGUGUGAACUGUUCAAGUUUAUUCAUUUGCAAGAGGGAUCAAUUCUCCACUUUUGAUGCAGAAGAUUAGAUGGCUAACAUUAUUGUCCGUUCAUUUGAUCCAGCAAGAGCCCAUUCUAGAAAUGUGGUCUUCUCUUUAAAGGCCUUUAGUAUUUUACUAUCAUAAAUAGAUAUUAUUUCUGGUUCUAUUGUUUUGACUGAGAGGAAGUCACAAGUCUUGUUGAUAUAUGAUGAUCUCUUAUCAUUUCCCCUUAAUUCUUGGUUGUUGUUUUGACAGGGUAGGGUUUGGGGAGUCUGGGUUUUUGGAUUAGGAAUUGUCCAACCACCAACAAUGUGUGUACAAGUUUGAAAUAUAUGAAUGAAGGCUGUCAAGGAAAAUGAUUACAGCAAUGAAGGCUAAAAAAAAAAUUGCGGAAGCAGAGUCUCCUAGAUCAGGAUAUAUAUAUGCUAGAGUGGAAAGAAAUAGAUGAAAUAUAUUUCUGAGAUAUCUUACAAAUGUGAUUACAGUCUCUAUUUAUAGACUGUUUUACAACCUAAUUAAAGAAAGAAAUAAUAGGUGAUGAAAGCCAGAAAUAAAUAAUGAGUGUUUAAAGCUGUACAAAUCAAAUAAAAUAAAAUCACUAACAAAUCUGUACUAAUAAAUAUAAAAUGGAAUCUGCACUUAAUUAUAACAUAAUUCUCCUGAUUAUGCAACAGU
RNAcentral lists this long non-coding RNA (37754 nucleotides) under Phaseolus vulgaris (common bean). RNAcentral's name for it is "long non-coding RNA (PVUL_LNC004094)". Lineage: Eukaryota; Viridiplantae; Streptophyta; Magnoliopsida; Fabales; Fabaceae. The record is from RNAcentral.